Molecule: unclassified non-coding RNA, 259 nt
Filed under: Hevea brasiliensis (rubber tree)
Lineage: Eukaryota; Viridiplantae; Streptophyta; Magnoliopsida; Malpighiales; Euphorbiaceae
Source: RNAcentral
UCUCUCUCUCUCUCUCUUUCUUUCAUUCCAUAUGAUUUAAUUAAAGAUUUGCCUCUAGAAAUGGCAAUAUUAGGAUAAGUUGUGUGGGAAGAAAUUGUUUCAUUUUCAAGGCCCCGGAGAAUUGCAUGCCAUAUGUGUGCUGUAGUUCGAGUUGCUGCAAUGUUAGCCGUGUAGUGGUAGAAUUGUGCAGUGGUUGAAAUUGUUGCAUAAUGUUGAGUUUUUGUUUACUCUGCUCCAGGAUCUGUGUACACUGGGGUUG